UGGGGAAUUUUGGACAAUGGGGGCAACCCUGAUCCAGCAAUGCCGCGUGAGUGAAGAAGGCCUUCGGGUUGUAAAGCUCUUUUGUCAGGGAAGAAACGGUAGUAGCGAAUAACUAUUACUAAUGACGGUACCUGAAGAAUAAGCACCGGCUAACUACAUGCCAGCAGCCGCGGUAAUACGUAGGGUGCAAGCGUUAAUCGGAAUUACUGGGCGUAAAGCGUGCGCAGGCGGUUGUGUAAGUCAGAUGUGAAAUCCCCGGGCUCAACCUGGGAAUUGCAUUUGAGACUGCACGGCUAGAGUGUGUCAGAGGGGGGUAGAAUUCCACGUGUAGCAGUGAAAUGCGUAGAUAUGUGGAGGAAUACCGAUGGCGAAGGCAGCCCCCUGGGAUAACACUGACGCUCAUGCACGAAAGCGUGGGGAGCGAAACAGGAUUAGAUACCCUAGUAGUCCCUGAGCGGGCUGGCAAGGCGCAU
RNAcentral lists this ribosomal RNA (473 nucleotides) under uncultured bacterium. RNAcentral describes it as "bacterial SSU rRNA". It matches the Rfam family "Bacterial small subunit ribosomal RNA", at positions 355 to 825 of the family's 1533-position model. The record is from RNAcentral.